GCCCAGAAGCCCACUGAUACCAAUUAACUGGUGGGAAAUUUGCGGGCCAUUGCGUUGGGCCAGGGAUCUGGCCCAUCGUAGGAGCCAAUCUUCCCGAAAGAGUUUCUUCUGAAGAUCUUUCUUCUUCAGAGGGGAUAACCGGAUUUGAGGUGGGUGUUCCCUCUGUUGAAGAGCCCUCAAUAUUCUUUGUCAUGGUACUAAAAAAAAAGGUUGAAUUCCUAACCGGUUUGCUGGUCUGUUUUGCAGGUGAGAAUUGUGCAACAACAGCCCAGAAGAUGAAGCAGUGGCAAUUCAAAAAAUGCGGAAGCUAACCAG
This 315-nucleotide long non-coding RNA is filed under the name Eucalyptus grandis. Its description in RNAcentral is "long non-coding RNA (EGRA_LNC000449)". The record is from RNAcentral. Lineage: Eukaryota; Viridiplantae; Streptophyta; Magnoliopsida; Myrtales; Myrtaceae.